This 47-nucleotide non-coding RNA is filed under the name synthetic construct. RNAcentral also lists the same sequence under 1 other name. The record is from RNAcentral.
GUCUCUCUGAUGAGGCCGAAAGGCCGAAAACCCGGUAUCCCGGGUUC